This 243-nucleotide ribosomal RNA is filed under the name uncultured bacterium. RNAcentral describes it as "partial 16S ribosomal RNA". It matches the Rfam family "Bacterial small subunit ribosomal RNA", at positions 528 to 771 of the family's 1533-position model. The record is from RNAcentral.
UAGGGAGCGAGCGUUAUCCGGAGUUAUUGGGUGUAAAGGGUGCGUAGGCGGUUUGAUAGGUCUGUGGUCUAAUUCCGAAGCUUAACUUCGGUUCGCCACAGAAACCGUUUUACUUGAGUAUGGUAGAGGCAAGUGGAAUUUCUAGUGUAGCGGUUAAAUGCGUAGAUAUUAGAAGGACCACCAGUGGCGAAGGCGACUUGCUGGGCCAUUACUGACGCUGAGGCACGAAAGCGUGGGGAGCAA